GGUGGGACCUUUUUAUAAUGCCAAUUUUAAAAGAAAGAAAUGCUAGAAGUUUUGAAGGUAAGCAAAAUUCAUCACAAAAGUUCAAGAUGAAUUGUAUGCAAUUGUCCCAUCGUUGAUGUAAAUAAACUGGAUUAGAGGAGACGGAUUCCUUGAUAGUGUAGAUAGAAUCCCUAUAAAUUCCUUUUGCACAGUCAGGAUCUUUGCUUACUUGUAUUUAUAGUGCUGCCAACUUAGCGUUGAGUGUGUAUAUGUAUGUUUUUUCUUUUGAUAACUGAUUAUGUAUACCUAUGUUACCAAUCUAAAAGAAAAACUAUAGCAGAAGGUACAUUCCUAUUUAAUAUUCCAUUGUGACGGCUUUGUGUAUGUAUAUGGACUUCAACAUCCUUAUCAUUUAUUGCUAAUUUCAUAUGCAAAGAUUCUGACUGUGCAAAAGAAAUUUACAAGGAUCCUAUAUAGACUAUCAAGAAAUUUGCCUUCUCUAAUUUAUUUAUUUUACAUCAACGAUAGAACAAUUGAAUACAACUCAUUUUGAGUUUUGGUGAUGAAUUUUGUUUACCUUCCAAACCUGUAACAUUUCUUUCUUUCCAAAUUGAUAUUAUAAAAGGUUCCACCCUAAUUGCUCAAGGUUCGGAGAGAGUCCUUCACUAUGCAGGCAGCUAUCAAAAGAGUCGUGCCAGACUGAUGAAGCCACAUACGCUUAUAUAGGUAGGCUAGAAACUCUUUAGGCAAAAACUUUAACCCUAGAAACUUUUUUCGUAAAAUAUGGUUGUGCAUAUUUUAUGAAAAAGUUCCAAGGGUUAGUUUUUGCCUAAGAGUUUCUAACCUACCUAUAUAAGCGUAUGUGACUUCAUCAGUCUGCACGCCUCUUUUGAUAGCUGCCUGCAAAGUGAAAGACUCUCUCCUAUGCUUGAAUAAUUACGGUGGCACCUUUUAUAAUGUCAAUUUUGAAAGAAAGAAAUGCUAGAAGUUUUGAAGAUAAACAAAAUUCAUCACAAAAGAUCAAGAUGAGUUGUAUUCAAUUGUUCUAUCGUUGAUGUAAAUAAACAAGAUUAGAAGAGACAGAUUCCCCUGAUAGUCUAGAUAGGAUCCCUAUAAAUUCCUUUUGCAUAGUCAGGAUCUUCGCUUACUUGUAUUUAUGGUGUUGCCAACUUAGUGUUGAUUAUGUACAUGUAUGUUACUAUUCUAAAAGAAAAACUAUAGCAGAAGGUACAUUCCUAUUUAAUAUUCUGUUGUGAUGGCUUUGUGUAUGUAUAUGGACUUCAACAUUCUUAUCAUUUAUUGCUAAUUUCAUAAGAGUUCUCUGUUUUAAAUUUAUUCCUUAACAGUUGUGCAAUUGAUUCCUCUGUUUCCUAAAACUUAUAUUAUAAAUUUCUACCCUGUUGAAUUAAUUGAUCAAGCAUUUUCAUGGAUUCUCGUGGAUCAUGUGUAAUAGAAUAUGAAUGAUGAUUUUUGACUCUUUUCUUUCAUUUUUCUUCGUCUUUUUUUAUUUCCUUUUUUGGGUUGGGUUGGG
This 1510-nucleotide long non-coding RNA is filed under the name Capsicum annuum. Its description in RNAcentral is "long non-coding RNA (CANN_LNC018430)". Lineage: Eukaryota; Viridiplantae; Streptophyta; Magnoliopsida; Solanales; Solanaceae. The record is from RNAcentral.